RNAcentral lists this long non-coding RNA (29938 nucleotides) under Brachypodium distachyon (stiff brome). RNAcentral's name for it is "long non-coding RNA (BDIS_LNC004271)". The record is from RNAcentral. Lineage: Eukaryota; Viridiplantae; Streptophyta; Magnoliopsida; Poales; Poaceae.
CGCAGACUUGAUCAAGAAGGGUAAGAUGUGCUGCCUCUUCAUCAACGAUCUCGACGCUGGUGCGGGUCGGAUGGGCGGGACCACCCAGUACACUGUCAACAACCAGAUGGUUAACGCCACCCUGAUGAACAUCGCGGAUGCCCCCACCAACGUGCAGCUCCCUGGGAUGUACAACAAGGAGGAAAACCCCCGUGUGCCCAUCAUCGUCACUGGUAACGAUUUCUCCACGCUCUACGCGCCACUCAUCCGUGACGGUCGUAUGGAGAAGUUCUACUGGGCCCCCACCCGCGAAGACCGUAUCGGUGUAUGCAGGGGUAUCUUCCAAACUGACAACAUCAGCGACGAGUCCGUCAUCAAGAUCGUAGACACCUUCCCAGGCCAAUCCAUCGGUACGUUCCCUGCACUCCACCGAUAAUAGUAUGCAUACAUCAAUGCAAGAGUAGUAAUUAACAAAGGAAAUGCUGAUCCCAAAACAGACUUUUUCGGAGCGCUGCGUGCCCGGGUGUACGACGAUGAGGUGCGCAAGUGGGUCAGCUCAACCGGAAUAGAGAACAUCGGCAAGAAGCUGGUGAACUCGAAGGAUGGACCGGUGUCCUUUGAGCAGCCAAAGAUGACAAUCGAGAAGCUCCUGGAGUACGGCCACAUGCUCGUCCAAGAGCAGGACAAUGUCAAGCGUGUGCAGCUUGCUGACAAGUACAUGAGCGAGGCUGCUCUGGGAGAUGCUAACUCAGAUGCCAUGAAGACUGGUUCCUUCUACGGUUAGAACACUCUUCAUACACACACCAUCUCUAGCUGCAUAGGAGGAGGUGAACUACAAUCUUUUUUUUUCUAUUUUCAGUAUCUACUUUACAUAUACUUCAAACUUGUGUACUUCCAAAAUAAAAGGGAGUGAAUUAUAAGCGACAGCGAGAAAUUAUUCUUACCUGUUCUUCUGGCACAUCAAGCUGAUCUUCUCAUUGCAUUGUGCAAAACAACUAAAUUUCAGGUAAAGGAGCACAACAAGGUAAUUUGCCCGUCCCAGAAGGUUGCACUGACCGGAAUGCCGAGAACUACGACCCAACAGCAAGGAGUGACGACGGCAGCUGCCUUUACACCUUUUAAGCAUGCCACUUUAAUUAUUCUGAUGUUUCACUCUUUGUACCUAAGUACCGCAUUGCAUCCAAGCAAUUGCUGGGCAUGAAAAGUUUUUGUUCAUAUAUAAAGAUAUUGAGUAUAUUCAUUUGGUGAACAGUAAUAUAUAUAACUACUUAUCCUUGCAGUAUUCAUUUCUUAAAUAAUUCUUAGUCUGACUCUGAUAAGUGAGGAAAGCUCCUGCUUGUUGGAAACAAAAUAGAAGUAACAAUUUGAGGUUCAGCUUGUUUAGGGUCGAGAGUUAGUGUCGCUGCUGUGCGAAUGCCAGCCCAGGAUUGAUCUCCCGUGGUCACAUCUCCGGGUGCCUCGUCUUUCUUAACUCGAUGAAGUGGCUUAAGGAGAUAGCAGAGAAAACAGAUAGUGGGGGGCGUCUGUAUAGGCAUAUACGAUUAAAGAGUGUACAGGGGCUUCUCCCCCUUAUAUCAUUCAGCUUCCGCUUGUUGUUGGACAAACAAAUGAAAGGAAAAUGGGGAGUCAAUUGCAAACAUAAAAUAGAUGCACUAUGUUAAUAUCAAACCUGCUGAUCCAACAUCCGAACUGAAAGACAAAUGAAAAGAAGCAGCUGGUUUUACCAAUGGCUCUGAAAAGCUACAUAUCCUCAAUACCUAUCUAGAUCAUGGGUGGUUCCGUAAGACCAAGAAGUGCGUGUGGCCAAGGUUGUCCACCAAUCGGUAUUUUGUGCCCUAUUGUUCAAAGCGGUCAUGGAAAGUUGCAUAUUUCAACAUCUUUGUCAAGCUGUGUAAUAGAAAAUCUAUGUGUUUGUGGUUGUGAACUGGGCAAGAUUGUUUACUAGCGCAACUGGGAAUACCAAUUCUUGUAAUUUUGAAGUCGCAUUCAGUAAAAUGUGAUGUUCGAAUUGUGAACUAAUCAAUGAGGAGAAGCAUAGGAAACUAGUAUAAAGCAAGUGUAUGCAGCUUUAAUCAUUUUGUGGACACAUGCAUAAUUUUUUUAAUGUUAUCUGUAUGUAAUAAAAGUGAGGUGACGUGAGUUACUUGUUCCAAUCACUUUGCCCAAUUUAGUUGUUGCUUAUCUUAUCACCGCAAAAGAUUUAUCACUGAGUUCUACUGUGGUGGCUAAAUAAACCAGUUUGUUCAAUCAAUCAACAACCUAAUUCAUCAGAACAUUUCUGAGACCCUUUUGGAGCGUACAAUUUUCAGUAAAUUAAGAAACAUGAGCUGCCGAAAUGUUUCGGAUCCAGUAGCUGAAACAUGUGUUUGGUGUUAUCCAAUCGAUCCAGACAACUCCAACGCAUAUCAAUGACACAGGACAAGGAAGUAAAUGGAAGGAGGGAUUACCGAACUAGAUUGCGUAGCAGUGUACUCCUCGCAAGCAAGAUAAAGUAGCAGCGGUUGGUCGCAGCAAUCGGCCUCCAUUCCCUCGACGAACAAAACACGGAAUACUGAUCAGGUAUUUCGACAAACACCUGGCAGGCAUAUCGGCGCGGUGAUGUGGUCAGAGAAACGAGGAAUCAGAAGGGGACGGAGGGAGAGCAUAUCUACAUGUAUGCUAGAUAACGGAAGCCGCGUGCGCCUGGCGCGGUGAACCUGGAAAAGCACGGCCACCGGUCAGGCGGCGGCGGCGCGUAUCAAGUCGGGUAGGAGAAAAGAGGACCGCGCGCGAUUACAACUGACUGACCCUUUUUUUUUAAAGGUAAAUGCACUGCUCGUCUGUUAACUUGGCAGGCAUGCGUAGAUUAAUCAUUGUACUUGCAAAAUGCAAAAUUCAGAUGUUACGACUUGACACGGUUGAGCAUCGGCGGUUAAAAAUACAUUUUGGUGCUGUCAACAAUUCAAUGUGGACAAAAUGGCUUGUGGCACGUCAUUUUGGGCCCAGAAACGAGUUGAAUUUUACAUAGGGACCCCUGAAUUGAUUUGGUAGGAGCUACAUUGCAAAAUUAAAAAAAAAAUAGUAUUACUCUUUCUUCCUCGAUCUGGGAAUGGCUCGGCUUGAGGUUGGAGGCGAGCUCUCCGACAGAGCCUGCAUCUGCUUCUUCUACUCUGCUCCUGCUUCUUCCACUCGGCAUAAAGCUAGAGGCGAGCUUCUCCACAGCGAUGCAGAUGGCGGUGGCGAAGGUGGCAGGGAAGCCGUCGAAGCCGAUGGCGGUGUUGUUCUGGUCCUCGUUGACGACGGGGAGGUAGAAGAAGGGCGGGUCAACGGCAAUGGAGACGAAGUGCGCCGUCGCCGCCAUUCAAGAACACCGGGCCGGUACCUCAGACGGACGUACGUGCGCGGACUAGCCGGGUUCUGCUACAGCGGCGAGUUCGAGGUGCCUAUUUGCUUAAAUGAAUGGCCAGUAGGACCCAAUUAGUCCACGUCGGCAAGCCACAUCACCUUCUGAAUCUAUGAAUUCGUAAUUUGACCACCGAUGCUCAACUAUGCCAAGUUGUAACCUCGAAUUUAGCACUUUGCAAGUACAAUGACUAAUCUGCACAUGUCGACCAAGUUAAUAUACCGGCGGUGCAUUUACCUCCGUUUUUUUAGAACUACUACUGGCUCACUGAGUCGUCAUUUUGUUUGGGGUGGACUUGGUUGGGCUGGAUCGACGGCAUACGGCCGGGUGCGCGAUUAGAACUUUGUGUAGGCCUCUCAAAAAAUAAAAAGAACUUUAUGUAGGAUUCGCUAAAAAAAACUUUGUGUAGGUAGAAGCCAACGGUUUCGCUGAAAAAUAUAUGGAGUACCAUAAAACCCAUAUUUUUGAACAUUUAUUAUCAGAGAGCCAUAAUUCUGAUUUUUUUUCGUUUUUUUUACCGGAAACUGUAGGAGGCCCAGAGAGAGAGUCUAUUUCAUUAAAAGGUGUUAUUUACAGGGUUUAUAUUAACAGAGCUAAGGUAGAGACCUCAACCAAAGAAGAAAAGGAGCUAUCCAGGGUGGCUUAAAGUUAAGCUGAAGCAAGGAGAUAUCUUCAACGAAAUCUCUUUUCCAAGCUCUAAAACUAGGUCUUGUGCCUUAAAAAAUCCAGUUGUUGCGCUGCUUCCAAAUAUUGCCAACAACUCAUGACAGCCACUUCCACAAAGAAAAGGUGACCAAAUUCUCACUGAGUGUCUCAGAUGAUUUGCUUGAAAUCCACUCCAGGAGACCACAAGUGAAGUCAUUAGUAACAUGCCAAUGCCUCCUCUCCAACAUAUCUGUGGUGUUCAAACGAUCAUUCAUCAGCAGCCAGACAAACACCUUCACUCUAGGUGUGAGACCACUCUUUCACACUCUCAUCAACUCGGGUCGUGAUGUGAUCAAAAUUCAAUCCAUAUCUCUCUUUGAGGAGAAAUAAUUCUCUCCCCAAGAAUAGCUCCACCCAUCCGACUAAUCAUGUUGAAUAUUGUCAAAAAGAUAGGAAGCGAGCACAAUCAUUUGCUAAUAUGUUAAAAAAAACCCUAUAAUUGGCAAUCAAGCAAUCUAACGGUAGAUUUGGCCUUUUUCCUUGUCAAUUCAUUGAUGGGGUAGCGGUUCGUUUCAUGUCUUGUCUUGCAAGGGGUAUGUCACUUUUUGAGGUGAGCGGCUCAUAUGGCCAUUGAAAACCCAUAAGAUUAGUCAAUUUUGAAGGACUAUGAUGGAGCUUUUAGUUUUAUCGAAAAUUUCCGUUCUUUACGUUUUGUUUCGGUUGUACCGAUCUCUAUUGUUCUUCUUUUAAUUUAUCAUAUAUAAUUAAAGCCGCAUUGGUGUUCUAGAAAAACUUUGUGUAGGGAAGAUUUCCAUAAAAAUAUAUAUUGAAACUUUUAAAUAGAUAAUUUUCUAAAAAGGUAUAUUUUACGUUCUACAAUUGUCACGAAAGUAUAUUUUACGUAAUUUUAUAAUUGAAAUAAUAUAAAGAAUUGAAGAAAAAGAAAACGAACCAACUCACCAAUCAUCAUCGCUUACACUGACAGUGCCACAGUGGAAGAGAAUGCUUUUCUGAUUUGGAAAGCGAUCGACUGCUCAACAUGCAUGAUACGCUUGCUUUAUCAUGCAUGAAUCAAAUACUAGAUAGAUAUCUGAAUAUGUUGGAUACGCACGCACUUCCAUAAGAUAGACAGGCUACGAAUAAAGCAAAAGAGACGAUGGGACUUGGGUUCUUCUUUUCUGCAAUUCUAUAUAUCCAAACUUCCAAACAGCAAUCAGUUAACUAGGUAAAGCUAGAAGCCCCGACCGCAAGCAAAGAAUAGAUCCUGGGGAAGAAGAUCGAUCACAAUCCCCAAAACGAGAACAAAAAAGAAAGGGGAACUAAAGGAGGUGCGUUGCAUUGCAGGGGAAUUAACCAACACCUUUAGAGGAGUUAGUCUGUUCUCUCUGACGGACCUGACUGUCGUCACUCGUCAGUCAAUGCACAUUCAGUAGCUCACUCACAUGUGCAUUUCUUCAGAUAAUUAUUGCAAUUUGCAAGCAGAUAAAUUUGUGAAUUCUCAAGUAAAUAAUUAACUGUAAAGACUACAGAGUACAGCUUGAAAUUGAGAUUUGCCAUUACCGACAAAGGCUUUCUCCAGUCAGAACGCAUGAACUUGACUGAUCAAAUACUCCACUGGCCUUCAGACAUCCAAGGGAGAAUAAAUAGAGACAAAAUAAAUCAUAAAUAAAAUAGUUAAAGGUUUAUGCAGAGGAACAAAGCGGCAGCCUACAAGAGGGCUACUUGUUUAUUCCUUCAAUAAUCAAAUUAAUCUCUCCUAAUCUAGACCCACAGCUAGCUUUGCUUCCCAAUUAUUUUGUUUGCAUAUGGUUACUACUUAAGGCCACCACACUCCUUGAUCUCCUUCCAUCUCCCACUUGAGAGCUCAAGUGCUCAACACAAGCUCACCAUGGCCUUCUCCUUCUUCUUCCCUGACAACAAUAAGCUCCUCUUCCUCCUCCUCAUCUCCAUUGCAAUCACCAGCAUGACUACUCAAAACCAAGCAGAAGCAGCAAGCGGCCACAUCCAACUGAUCAUGGUGAACAACUGCGCCGAGUCAGUGUGGCCAGCCCUGCUAGGAACAACCGGCCACGUCACGCCGCAGUCCGGCGGGUUCCACCUGGGCGCCGGCGAGGAGCUCACCUUCAACGUCCCCCUCAUGUGGUCGGGCCGCGUGUGGCCGCGCCGGGGCUGUGCCUUCGACGCGCACGGCAACAGCACCAACGGCAGCCGCUGCACGACUGGUGACUGCGGCGGCGUCCUCCGCUGCGCCGGAAACCCCGGCGCGGCCCCGGCCACCGUGAUCGAGAUGACUCUAGGAACACCAUCUUCCCCAGUGCACUUCUACGACGUGAGCCUGGUGGACGGCUUCAACGCGCCGGUGUCCAUGGCGCCCGUGGGCGGCGGCAGGGGCUGCGGCGUGGCCGCGUGCGGCGCUGACCUCAACGUGUGCUGCCCGUCGGCGCUGGAGGUCAGGGACAGGGAAGGGAGGAUCGCCGGGUGCCGCAGCGCGUGCGGCGCCAUGGGCGGCGACCGGUACUGCUGCACCGGGGACUACGGCACGCCGGCGGCGUGCAAGCCCACCAUGUUCGCCCACCUGUUCAAGGCCAUCUGCCCCAGGGCAUACAGCUAUGCCUUUGACGACGCCUCCAGCCUCAACCGGUGCAAGGCCAGCAGAUACCUCAUCACUUUCUGCCCACCACAACCUCAAUACUAAUGAUCCAUCAGCAUCCGCCCAACCUCUAUCACUUUCAUUCUCUUAUAUGUAUGAUGUAUACAUUUCUGAAUCCAGACACGAACUGAAUAUAUCAUCAACAGCUGCAAAGCCAACAGAUAGUAUAUAUCAACUGAUCAUCAAAUUUCGAACAAUCAGCAAGUCUGAAAAAUUAUCUGAUGAUGCAUUGAGUUCUGACGAAAUUGUAGAUAGUCCACAGGCCUGAAAAGUUAACAGUACCACCGGCCGACACAACAGACUUCACAGUACUAGAAAUUGCUGACAUAGAGGUUCCAAGUCACAGCCUCAUCACAGGAAGGCACAAAAGGUAACAUAGACAGGUAACAGGCAGAGGCAGAGGCAGCUUAGCCAAAGUGCGGCUGAGGAGGAGGCGGCGGCGGCGGUGCUGCGAAGAAAGUCGGCGUCCUCUUGAGGAGAUUGUUGACAUGCGUCACCAGGCGUUUCCCGAGGGCGUUCUUGUUCAGCGUGUCGGCGUUGCGCCUCACCGCCUCCGCGAACACGCUGAACUCCCAUUCAUCUGCCGCGUCUAUCAUCUUCUGCACCACGUAGGUUGCAGUCUCAUGGAUCAUCAUACUCUGCACAAUGUACACCAGGGAACCACACACAAGAUUUGUUAUAUAGUUACUCCUCUUCUCCACUUGCUUUACUACCUUCGCUACCUAGGCGCAUGUUGUUAAGGAACAGUUAGUGAUCUUACCACGAGAUGAUCUGCAGUCUGUCCAUCCCCAGCGCACAGGAACUCAGUGAUGAUGAUCUUGCGGUCCUGGUAGCUGCCGUACAUCAGGAGCUUCUCGAUAACAUUUGCAGAGUAUUUCUGGUGGCUCAGCUCCACAAAGCGCCCCACAAAUUUCAUCAGGAUGGUUUGUCGGUCACUAGGCCCUCCAUUCUGCACCAUGUGCUGCAUGCAAAAAAUGACGAGGCGUAAAAUAUCUGUUUUUCGCUAAGCGGUUGUUUCAUCAACUGCAAGCCACUGCACACACUUGAUUUAAUUUACCUGCACGACGUAGGUGCCAAAUUUGUCCGCCGACAGCUCGUCGACGUUCUCCACAAUCUCCGCGGCAAUAGGAUACAGAAGCGGCGGGUCCUUACAAAAGUCCAGCACUUUCUGCAAAGAUCAUGAAGCGUGAUGAGCAAAUACAAAUAAUCAAGUCAUCACAAGAUAAGAGGAAGCAGUAAAAAACAAACAAACCGAUAACCUGAAUGAUACGACAUCCGUACUGAUGAGAGGCUAUCGUCUUGGCCUUCCCACGUAUACUUCUGUAGAUGAAAUGGAUAUACUGUUCGGGCACACACUCCAUGCAUUUCUGGACUACAUGGUUCCCAUGUUGGUCACGGACACAUCUCUGCAGGUUCGUAUUAAGCUCCUUGGCGAUCUCUAUCUGAUGGUCAAUGUGGCCUAUUUCAAAUGCCUGAAAAAGGAGACAGUACAUGAGAAAAAGUCUGAUCCACAACAAGUUUACAAAAGGCAACUUAAUUAUUUACAUCAUGAUACAUGUUGCAAAAGCCAGAGGAUUCAGUUUACCUUUUCGAUUACUAGAUGACCAUACUGAUGAACGCUUAGGGCUAACACAUGCCCGAUAAGAUUGCGGACCAGCCUGUUUCUGUAGGGUUCUGGUCCAUGGUCAAGAAGCUGGUGAAGAAGGCACAAGGUAAGUGUUAGACUGUAUGAUCGAUUAAGCCGUACAUUACAACAGUGCUCCUAUAAGAUGAAAACCGAAAUAAAUGAGUUUGGGGAAGAAACCUUCAUGAUAGCAGAAUUGGCAAACACAUUGUAGACCAGUCUGGGCACUUCAGGCGUAAUUUCAUUAUACAGCAGCACUAUUUCCCCAGUAGUUGCGAUGUCAAGCUUUUUGGUUAUAAAACGGCUUCCCACUGGAUGGACACUGCAUUUAAAAUACAACAAAGGGUUUAGCCAUAGAAUGUCACAAUAUAUAUCAAUUGCUUCAAGGAAUACAAUAGGAUGCAUAAUCUUAUGGACAUAGAUACUGAUUGAAAUCACUGCUUAAUUUUGACAAAGGAAACUGGGGGCUGAAUGAGUUAUGUACAUGUACCUGAGAGCAGGCACUUGGCCCUUGAGAUUAAUGAUACGGAUAGGCUGCUCCCCUGGAAACUUGAUCCGGUGAAGAAGGGAGCCAAACACUGAAUCCCUGCUCUCCAGUCCACUGGCAAGAUUGAAAAUAGGGUCCACUCGGCCGACAGUAUACGCGAGCUCGACAUCGCGAGCAUAGUGAUUCUUCACAGCGUCAGGAGACUGAUGGAAGACUUUGGAGGCAACCUCCUGGUCUGGAUCAAAAAGUGCACGGAGCAAUCCCAUCUGAACCGCCAUCAUGUCAGGGAAUUUGUUUGGUCGCACACUCGUUGAAGAAGAAGAAGACUGCACAGCAAGAUCCCCGGCAGCACCAUUGUUUGGUACUGUAAUUUGGGAGUGUUGCUCGGUGAGGGAACUGCUUGAAGAGGAAGCAGCAGAAGACUGCACAUCAGGAACCCCAGCAGCAUCCUUGCUUGGUACUGCAAUUUGGGAUUGUUGCUCGGCGAGUGCACUGCUUGAAGAGGAAUCAGCAGAAGACUGCACAUCAGGAACCCCAGCAGCAUCCUUCUUUAGUACUGUAAUUUGGGAGUGUUUCUCGGCCAGUGCAUUGCUUGAAGAGGAAUCAGCAGAAGACUGCACAUCAGGAACCCCAGCAGCAUCCUUGUUCGGUACUGUAAUUUGGGAGUGUUGCUCGGCGAGUGCAUUGCUUGAAGAGGAAUCAGCAGAAGACUGCACAGCGGGAUCCCUGGCAGCAUUCUUGUUUGGUACAGUAAUCUGAGAUUGUUGCUCGGCGAGUGCACUCCUUGAAGAAGCAUCAGAAGACUGCGGCAAAAUGGACCCAGUAGUGUCAUGCACCUUCUGAUUAUCUGGAUCAGUCAACACUUCACUGCUUCGAGCAUCCUGCAAAGUAGGAAGCAGCAAUGUUUAAUUAUUACCUUAACGUGAAUUUCUCAUGGUAUAAAAUACAGCCAGGAGGCACAACAAACAUCAAUGACAAAAGUGUCAAGAACUAGGGAUCAUAUGGUGGUUUCAAGCCUUCAAGGGAAAUUUCCAUGCAUAUGUAUGUUACCUGUAUGAUACCAAUUGCUAGCUCACUGUUCAGUGUGGAUCACACAUAAUUGUUACUUAGAGAUAGAUACACUCUAUUCAAAGUAAAGUUAUAAAUUUUUUACUACAAAUAUGGUCAAAUGUUUAAAUCCAACAUAACAAAAACUGAAGCUCAUGUGUUUUCUGUAGUACUCCCUCCGAUCCAUAGUAAGUGUAUUAUGGAUCGGAGGGAGUAGUAUAGAAGCACACUGUACCACACUAUCUACAGAACAUAUUUUUGGCAAUCAGUCAAUAUUAUAAAGAGAUCCCUAUAAUAAAUGCCCAACUUAAUUAGCGAAAUACCAUGAUUUUAUGUCCCAAUUUUGAGGGUCACUCCAUGCCAUGAUGACUCUGGCGCAAGGCCGGUCCUGGGAUUUUAGGGGCCAGAGGCAAAAUAGAAAUAUAGGCCCUCUAUUAAAAAAAAAAGCUAAAUAUGGCUUCAAAUUUUCAGCACGAAAGCUAACUUUUGUGACAAACUUGUGAUUGAAUUAGAACUGGAUUGUUAAAAGUGAUGGUCCAGAUAUAUCCUAAUAUUUUCAUGAGACGCUGCAUAAGCAAGUAUGUAUUAUGAACAAACAGAAAAUCGUUAAGUGUUGCUAACGAGGAAAAACUCUAAAAUGUCGACACUAGCAGCAAAAGCAUAAGGCCUGCAUUACCACCAUCAAUCAUAGGUAGAUUAACUAGACUCCAAAUGUCAAGCAAUUUCUUUACCUCCUUAGAAUUUCACAAAGAUAGAUGUAAAUUUCAGUUGAAAAAUUGUGCUCACCUUCUCAUGAUCUGGAGUCAACAGUUCACUGCUUCGAGCAUCCUGAAGUCAAGCAAUUUCUCUAUCUCCUUAGAAUUUCAAAAGGAUAGAUGUAAAUUUCAGUUGAAAAAAUUGUGCUCACCUUCUCAUGAUCUGGAGUCAACACUUCACUGCUUCGAGCAUCCUAAAGUCAAGCAAUUUCUCUAUCUCGUUAGAAUUUGAAAAAGAUAGAUGUAAAUUUCAGCUGAAAAAUUGUGCUCACCUUCUCAUGAUCUGGACUCAACACUUCACUGCUUCGAGCAUCCUGAAAAGGAGGAAACAGCAACAUUUCAUUAUUACCUUAACAGGAAUUUCUCAUGGUAUAAAAUACUGCCAGCAGGUACCACAGCAAUGACAAAAGGGGCAACGAACUAGGGAUGAUAUGGUAGCUUCAAGGGAAAAUUCCAUGCGUAUAUAUGUUGCCUGUAUGAUACUAAUUGCUAGCUCACUAUUCAGAGUGGAUCGCACAUAAUGUUGACUCAGAGAUAGAUACAGUCUAUUAAAAGUAAAAUUAGUAAAAAAAACUAAGAUACAGUCAAAAUGUUUCAAUCCAACAUAACAAAAAUAAACCUCAUGUGUUUUCUUGAGUAGUAUAUAAGCACAUUGCGACCACACUAUCUACAGAACAUACAUUUGGCAACCAGUCAAUACUAAAAAGAGAUCCCUGUUACAAAUGCCUAACUUAAUUGGUGAAAUACCAAGAUUUGUCCGAAUUGAUGUAGAAUGCAAAGUUCCAGGGCUUGUUUUUUUUUAAGGGCAUGUGAGAGGAACACAUUUUUACACUAAGAUAGAAUAAGAAUCAGACUUUUUAAGAACUAUUUUUCACAAACUCUGAGAGGUGAAGUUAGUAAAUAUAUGGUAGAGACCCCCAAAAUGCAUGGCAAGAGCCAACUUAGUUAGAAAAAGGCUUCACACUGAAAUCACUAUUGCUAGCAGAUGGCCAGAACUAACUCUGUGCCAUGAUGACUCUGGCAAGGUCGGUCUUGGGAUUUGGGGGCCGGGGCCCAAGACGAAAUAGGAAUAUAGGCCCUCUAUUGAAAAUCAGAAAAAGCUCAUAGUUCUAAGACAAUGAUUCCUAAAUGGCAAGGGGAUUUGAGGGUCGUCCCCAACGGCAGCGGCGGCAAGAUGGACCAAGCAACAGUGGUUAAAAUGUCGUUGACCGCGAUUAGGGAGAUUUCAUCUAUGGCUGCCCUCACUUGUCUUGGCUGACCACUGUAGCCACUGGCCUAGGCAAGUUAUGCAACAAAGGAGGGGGCAUAUAGGGGCAACAAUGGCCGGGCAUCGGCACCAGCGGCGAGAGAAACUAUUGAACGGACUGCCUCGAUGCGAACUAGUAAGAACUCGCCUCAUACCUUCAUUUGUAUGCCUGAAUUCCCAAAUUAAACCCUAACCCUAGAAACUCACCUGUUCAGGCAAGUCAUGGGGAGGACUACUCCAACUUGAAUUAUCGGUCGAGAUCACCAUAUCUAGGAGGGCGCGCCGCAGAGAAUCCCGAGGCAGCGGCGGAGGAGGAGGGCGAGGCAGUGGUGGUGGAAGAGGGCGAGGCGGCGGCAUAUAGCUAUGGAUGUUGUGCGGGGUUGAGGACUGAGAGUGAGGGUGGUCGGACCAACUUGGUUGGGUGAAGACCGAUAUAUAAAGGGGCUCGGACCGGUUGGCCACGUUUGCGUUGUACUGGACCUGAUGGAGGAUCCAUAUCAGAUUUCCUAUCAAAACACGAUGAAUCGAGAGAUCAGUGGGUUCCCUGACCUGUAUCCACAAAACUGGUCAUUUGGAAAAAUAAAUAAAAACCAAGUGGUCACGUUAGACAAUUACCUAAUGUGACAUAAUGAUACUGAGUGCUAACAAUGUAUAAAAAUUCUUAGAGGUGCUACCGUGGGUUGGUAGCAUAGUAGCACCUAAAGGGGUGGGACCACAUGAUCUCUUCACCACUAUGAAGGUGGGUUCUAGUAGAGAAAUGCCAUAGCCACACGUAGUAACUAAAAUUCAGAGAGGGGCCACGCGACUCUACUGACCGGCCGAUGUUUUGUUGUUAUUGGGGUAAUACUCUAGCAAACUAUUUACAGAUGCACAUGGUUAGGCCGAUGCCGCUCACAGUUUGGGGGGGGGGGGGGGGGGCUUGGGGCGAUCACACUGGGUGCAUUACCUCAGGGCCGGCCUUGCUCUGGCGCAAUACUUAGCGUCCUCGGUGCGCCACAUCCUCUCUUCAGCAGCCGCUGCCACCACAAUCCACCACCCCCAACCAAACCUAAGAAAGUCAUAACCACUGCAACCGUCUUUCUCCAAUCCCACAACCAGCAUCAUCACCACCAGAUCGACGCAACUCACUGAAAUUCUACAUGCAGGAUCCCAACAAACCAUAAACCUAACCCUACCAGUAGCUUCAGCCUUGCCUAAUUAGAAUGUUAUGUGUUGAUCUGAGUGCACUGCUGGUACAUAAAUACUUGCUUAAGCGGAAAUCAAGUUACCUCCUCCAUUGUAUGGUUCACUACAAGAUCCAUGGAGUCUCAAUAUCAGAUCUAACUACAACCGUGGCGGUGAUGGGAAUGGAGUAGUGAGUGAGUAGGAUGACGAAAGUAUAAAUAUAAGGGAUAUAUGAGCCCAUUUACAGUUACAUCAUAAAUAUGUUUUCAUGAUGGAUGAUUGGAGGCCCGACACCUCGAAUCCGUAAGCCCAACAUCAGAAGAACUUCUAAGAUUGAUAUCACAAGUUUAGCUCAAACUUGUGAUAAUAGCUCACUCAAACUUACCCAACCAGCCUAACACUAAAGCCCAAUUAGCACAACCACACUCCUAGGGCUAGAUUGGGUCGACCAAGGAUGGAAACAGGCCACUUUUCACCAGGUAUUGUCCAUUGAAAAGCGCAAUGAAGUUAUGGAGCUUAGAAAAUACGUUGGAUUUGUUUUGUAAUGGGAAAGUCCAGGCGAAGUGGCUAAAAUCGUCAAGAGUGACUAGUUAAUACGAAUAACUAGACAAGCUAGGGACGGGCGAAGUUGGCCAUGUCUAGGAUGGCAUGCCGCAGAGAAUCCCGAGGCGACGACGGAUAGCUAUGGAUGUUGCGCGGGGUUGAGGACUGAGAGUGAGGGUGAUCGGACCAACUUGGUUGGGUGAAGACCGAUAUAUAAAGGGUAUAAAUAUGAGAUAUGAGCAGGUCAUACUUUGUGGCCUCUUUUCCCAAACUUACACAUACAUCGCAAUGCACUAGAUGAAAAAGGAAGAUUCAAUACAUGCACAUAGUCUAGAAAUGGAAAUCGAAAUUUCUGCCUAACUAACAUGAACAACAGGUAUGCGACGAGCGCCUGGGAAAAGUGGGCACUACAAUGCACAUGGUCACGAGAGCUGAGCAUCCCGGGUGGUUGAGGCGUCUUGCUAGUCAUCAGCUGAAGCGGCGAUGUGGAGACUGAUGUGUGGACUUGAGAUGAUCGGGUAUAGGUCGCCGGUCGACUCACCCUGGAGGAUCACCUAUUCAACUGCUUGGUCGCCUGUCCUUGACAAAAAAAACGCGUUAAAUUUGAUGGUGACAAGGUUGUCGCGGAUGAGAGAUUUGACGGAGAUCAUUUCUUUUACAACAGGGGAAAAAAAUGUUGGUGAGGUGGAUUGGUUGGGUUUGGGUGGGAAUGGAAAGAGCUCUGGUUUGUGUGAUCGGUAUACUCGACCCGUUGUAUACCACAAUGUGAGAAUUAACGUGAGAGGGGUUUGAGAGAGUAGAUCAUAGCCAAGGAGGAACACAUGUGGACUAGUUGCCAGGGGACACUGGAGUCGAGAGCAAGGCAGCCAUGGCGUUGAGCUGCCGCCUGGAUGAGCGCAGUCUGUUCCCAAGCUAGGCCUGAGGGAGGCAUGGGAGAUGUUGCCGAGGGCGAUAAAUAGUGCAUGCCGACAAAAGCUGCCAUACUUCCGAGGCUUGGCCCGAGGAUGCCAGCACUCGAAGCUUGUUAUCGCCACAGGACCAGCCAUGAGUAGAUGAAUCUCCAUAGGGGGUGUGGAUUGUCGUUCAGCGGCACACCGUAGGAAGUAGAGUCCCUACCAUUGUUCUUGCCCCGCAGCUGCUUUCCCUUUAUCAACAGGUACUUUGUACGAAAUCUCAAAUAAACUUGCCAUUAGUAGCAAUCCACAUUUAGAAGGCAGAGUCGUGUCAAGGCAAACAAUCAGCGCUUGAUAGUGCUAGGGUUUUCGCUGUGUGAACUACGGAAUUCAAGGCUAUAAGAUAACAACAUACAACCAGUGAUUGGUCAUGUUGCUACCUAGGAGUGCCAGUCUUGGUGCUUUGUGUUCACAAAACAUACCAAGGAAGACAAAAAAUUAACGUCCACCGUCCAUAACAAUUAAGCAAUGGUUUAGGACACAUCAAUGCACUAACAAAAAUUUGAAUGGUUACUGAGGUGCCUUUAGCAACUUCGCCUCUUCUAGCACGAUGUGUCCAUUUCCCGUAGGUUCUCAUGCAUGCGUGUGUCCUUGCCAAAAAAAAACUCAUGAUGUUGUACAAUAUACUAUGUGUGUUUGAUCUAGCACCCUGGUAUGAGUGGAAUAGUCAAAAUAUGUGUGAACAGUUAGUCGCAUCACUAGUACAAAACAUGCCAUCACGUAUAGUUAAAUAUUGAUAUGGCACAUGGUUUACUAGACUACCACCUUGCUUCCGUGGACGAUAAAACACAGUCAUCGCACACGGUCUCGAGAGCAUGUGCGAUAUGGGCAUCAUCAUACAUAGUUGAGACACGAAAACCUUAGGGGAUGUGCAUGAAUUACAAAAAAAGCGGUGGCACCGUUCCAUUGUUCUCUCGCUACCAUUGUUCUCUAUCGACGGUACAAAGGUGGAUCUCGUCCGUAGGCAACAAAUUUGUUGAAGUUGUCACUGUCGACGCACCGUUCCUAUUUAUCCCCGCCCCAAGACUCCUUCAUGUUGUCCUUUGUGCUAGCCACCAUCAGAGCCAUGACCUCCUUCAAGUUCACCAACGACACAUCCUCUAGAAGACUCGGCUCCCAUCGAUGCUACUCGGUCGGAUCUGGUGCAAGGGGAAGUGCCGCGCUGCCUCCAGGCCUCAGCAAGCUUCUGGCCAUGAGAUCAAGAAGGGACACAAAAAGAUGGAAGGCAUAGUUCUUACCAGUCUUCGUACCCAUGCCCUAGAUUCUAAAGAGGCGGAGGCCCUAGAGUAUUGCGCCCAUAAGCAAAUCCUUGUCAACCUCUGCAAUUGUGACCAUGGUGUUGUAGUUUGUGGGGGUAGCUAGGCCGUCUUGUGCAAGUACUUGACGGCCUUGCUGGUGAUCAUGCCGAUAAGCCCGACUGCCCCAUGCGCAUCCCCAGGACGUCGGGCCUAGCUCUCUCCUUGUAUAGUUGACAUUGCUUUCUUUGAGCCCCUUUUGGGUCCCUUUGUUGUUGCCUUGUUUGUACUUGUGCUUCUUGCGCUUUCUUUUUAAUGGAAAAGAAACCUUACUCGGCAUGUUCGAGAAAGGAAAAGAAAAAGAAGCUCGACUGCCGCCAUGAAGAGCAAGCAGUUGCAAUAGUAGGGUGACUCCGAGGACGGGAGCUGCCACCUAGAUCGAUUGAGAGAGAGAGGACGGAGGCCAAACGGAGAUGGGGAGAGAAAUGGAGGGCGUCGGUGCCUGAACUCCGGGAUGCUUGGCACCCCCUUUUUGUUCAGUGGUGGCGCUGGAACUGCUCUGCGCGGGCUCCACGCACACAAAGUUCACAGCAGUGUUUGCGUAAAAUUAAGAUAAGAUGAGCAACAGUGAAUGAAAGUUCGUAAGGUUAACAGUAAUAUGAGGCUUCCCUAAAAGAAAAUGAAAAGUAGAGAUAAGAUGUGGUGUUGGAAAGGCAAAAUUCUCUGUAGCGAAGAUAAGAUGAGCAAUAGCAGAACAAGAAGAACUGCAUCCAGAUGGCUUGGGCUGGAAUUCGAUCAGAUCGCCCGUACCAAAUUACCCGGUAGUGCGGCUCCUGGAUGGGUCUUCGGCUCGACCACCCUUAUCCUUCCUUCCGCUCCGUCUCCGGUCUCUUCUCCGGCGCCGGUAACCUUCUUCGCUUCGCUGCCGCCGCACCAUGCGAGAGAGAGAGGGGGAGAGAAGAAGAUGGAAAGAUAGAGACACGUUUUGAGGGCGUGCCCCAGAAAGAAACAAGUAAGUGGGCCGUCUUAGGUUACAUCUGGCCCAAUUCCCUAAAAAGAGGUGUAAUCUGGCCCAAAGUGGUGGGCUUUUUAAAGCCCCAGAAAAAGAAUCGACACCAGACUGAGCACUUUUCUUUUUGAGAAAAAAAAAGACUGAGCACUUUUCAAUCUCCACCGAUUGGAAAAAAACAAUUCACUCUGUUCUCAAAAAAAAGGAAAAAAUAACUCUUGUUCCUGAUCUCAAAAAAACAAGUUUGGAUAGAUUUAGAGUCCAUCCAUAUUUUCUUCCAAAAAGUAUAAAGGAAAAGGAAAUUAAUAAGCGAAAAUAUAUGCAUAUGGCAGUAAUUAAGAGACAUACCACACUACAUUAAUAAAAUAAAAGAAAGAAAACAAAUUAUCGUAUAUCAGUACAGGUGCAAGACAUAUAAGUACAAAAUACACGUAUGCAAUGAAUCAAUACUAGCCAGCCAGUACUCUAUGCAAAUGCCAGGCAGUAAAUUAAUCAGCUCUAACUAUACAAGCUCCAAGCCAGGAUAUAUACGUCUGCAUAUGAUCGGAAAUCAUUAAUGGGGUAAUUAAUUAAUGAAUCAUUACCUGAUUAGAGGCCAGCCGUAGAGAAGGGGGUGUAUGCUGCAGGAGGUCUAGGAUGCGGCUCCUUAGGCGGCCGCCGCCGGCGGUGAGAGCAGCAGCGUCCACGUCUUCCCAUAUCUCCUUAUCUCUGCUACGACUGCCACCUGAAUCCUUCUUCUUCUUCUUCUUCCAUUCCAACACCACCUUGGACUUGCCCUUGUUAUCCAUCUCUGUCGUCUCUCCUUAUUUGCAUCAAGUAAUACACAACGAGUAAAGAUUAAUCCAUCACAGAUAUAUACAAAAGCUAGUAUGUAUAGAAACGAUCGAGAGCAAGAUGUAUAUAGAUCAGCAAAGUUGAUUAACAUUAGAUGGAGACUAAAAAGUGUGGAUCUAGUCAUCUAGACCAAGGAAACAUGGAUCUAGUUGAGAUUUACUCCAGAUGGAUGCACGUAUAUAAGGAAAAUGUUAAGAAGAGAUCAAAAUUCAGCGAAACUAUACAUGUAUAAAGAUAAGUAACACACAAGAGCAAGAUGUACACGGAUCAGAAAGUUGAUUAACAUUAGAUGGGGGAUAGAUCUAGUCAUCUAGACCAAAGGAAACAUGGAUCAAGUUGAGAAUUACUCGACCGAGAAGAGAAUUUAUAACAACAGAACAAGAUUAAACCAAAACUAUACAUGUAUAAAGAUAUGGCUUACCUGAAAGUCGGGUUAAUCGGAGAGGCCCCCUUCUGAUGGACACAAACAGCAGAUCGAGAUUAGUAGGAGGAGUAGAAGAGAGACUGAAACGGCAAGAGAUACACUAGCUAUGUAGAAACAAGAGCAAGAUGUAUACAGAUCAGCAAAGUUAACAAACAUUAGAUGGAGACUAGAGCGUAGAUCUUGGGCAAGGAAACAUAGAUCUAGCUAUUUGAGAACUUGAGAUGUAUACAUACAUACAUACACAUAUAUAAGCAAAAUUCUAACAAAGCAAAUCAAGAUGAAAGGAAACUAUACGAGAACAAGAGCGUGCAAGGGUCAAUCAGGGAGACCUUCUGAUGGACGCGAUCGAAGAAGGAACACGAAGCGGCAGAGAGUCGUACGAGGAGAAGACAAAGGCUUGAGACUGAAAUGGUAAGAGAGAUAGAUAGAGAUGUGCAGUCUAAAUAGCGAGAGAGGGGGGGGGGGGGGGGUAGCGGGGGUCACGUGUGUGUAUUCCGCUGAAAUUGAAACGGAAAAACUGAUAUGAUUAAUGAUAUGAGCUAUCCACUGGCUGUACAUGGUUGCGUAUACUAUACGGUCCACAUAUGGGGCUGGCUAGCUUUGUAUGUGAUCCCCGCCGUAGUGCAGUUCAUGCAGCCCAUGCAUGCACGCACGCAUGCAUGCAAAAUAAGCGCCCAGCGUUGAGAAAAUAGAAGAACAAAAAAAUGGUUCAAAAUUUGAUCAAACUAGGGAUGUGAGCGGUUAAUUUGGAGAUCAUAUCAAAACCUUGACAUGGAACGCUUUUUUUUCAAGUGUAAUUUGUUUCAGACAUGAAAGUCAUAAAAUCGAGGAAAGGGGGGGUGCAAAAAAAUAAAAGGUUCAUGCAUGCAGGAACAAAGGUUCAUGGCUCACCUGCAAGAUCUAGCCGGAGGUCGCUGGCUUGUUGCAGGAUGUUGCCUUGGAUGCUGCACGGGAUGUUCGAUUCCACAAGGAUGGCUCAUCGAUGAUCGAUCUCAGCAAAAGGAUAAGGGUUCUAUCGGCUCCUCCUGACCCCAUUGCCCAAUGGAUUUAGACUUGGGAUGUUCCCAACAAGGUGCAUAUCUUCGGAUGCAUGGUUGAUGCAUGCAUGUUCAGUGACUGCCUCGAUCGACACCUGCAGGAAAAAUUAAAUCUACACCGCAAGAACCUGCUACCAAGUGCUCAAUGUGCAAGAUUUUUUUUCAAUGUGCAAGAUGCCUCAGUUCGUACGAAGAUCGCUAGCUGCCACCUUUUCCUCGCGUGCCCUGCUCGUGGCAGACCUAACCUCCAUCAUCUGGCCAUUAAUCAUCCUAUAUAUAUAUGGCGCAUUUGGGCCGCUCGGAAUGCCAAGUGUUCUCCGAUGAAGUUGUUCAGGUUUCACGAUCUUUGCGGUUCAUAAUUAAGGACCUUACCUUGUGGACUUUUAGAUUGAAAAGCAUUGAUAUAAAAGAUAUAUAUAUAUAUAUAUAUAUAUAUAUAUAUAUAUAUAUGUGGCUGAUCCAUACUAGUAUUAUCAUUCAUACAUAGAUAUUAGUGUGUGGGACCAGGGGCGGGCCCAGGAUUUUUCCGUGGGUAUUCAUAAUUGUUCUGAAUAUUUGCUAGUCAAAAUUGCAAAUACUUGUGUCUCUGAACGAGAGUUCGAGUCGUUGUUCUCUUGUGCGUAACACAGAGCGCAUGUAAAAACGUGGAACGGCAGGAGCGCCGAAUACGUGGCAGAGUAAAUAAAGAAGCAGAAAAGCAGUCACUAGGUUUUUUUGACUCGGAGACAUGUGUUGGGGAUUUAGAAGGAGGCGAGAAGGUGCCAGGGUGUAGAUCGACAUCAAUAAAGGUCGUACGAGACUACGAGUAUCGAGCAGACAAUUCGAUUUCUAGGAUCGAAAAUUCUAUUUCGACCAUUGGUCCAACUUGGAGGAGGAAGGAGAGAGAUGGAGCGGUGCAUUUUUAGACUCACUGCAGGAAUACCCUUGAGUUCCAUUCCAAAAUCUUGUUUACUCCAGAAUAUAUAGUAUAUAUAUUCGGUUUUUUGCAAAAUUUGAUGGGUAUUCAAUUGAAUACCCUUGAAUAAAGCUGGGCCCGCCCAUGUGUGGGACCAAAACCUGACACUGACAAAGGUUUUUUAUGAAUUGUUUGUUUCAGACAUCAAAGUGAGAAAAUUAAAGGAGGUGAAAAUAAAUGGUUCAUGAAUGCAGGAACAAAGUGGUAGAUUACAAUUUUUCUUCUUCUCUAAAAGUGGAGAAGAUCCCGGCCUCUGGAUCAGUAGAUGCACACAGCCAUUUUGUGCUACCUAUUUAUUUGCUCAACCGACAAUCAGAUAAUCUCUCAACUACUGUAACAUUUUGUGCUACGUACCUACCUAGAUUGAGCUCGAACAGUUUACUAGUACAAAGUAAAGUUAGCUGAUUAUGUUCUGACGAAAUGACGGACAAACAUGUAAAUUAAGCUCAAGAAUUAACAUGCAUAAUCGAAAAGCCUGACAAAGGCUAAUACCAGUGGGAACAACAGGUGUUAAACAUUCUGUCCCCCCAUACAACCUGAAUGAAUGAUGCACCAAUUUUAUAUGUCUGCACAUUUCUGAAUCCAAACCUGAAACAUCAACUGUAACUUUUUAUGCAGUACCGAACUGAUCAUACUGAAACAGUUUGAAACUGAUUAAGUUCUCACGAAAAUGGUACGGACAUACUCCAAGUUCACUACCUGCAUAUCUAAGCAUAACCGAACAUGCCUGACAAAGUCUAACACAAGCAUAAACAACAUACUUCAGUACUUCACCCUACAUUUAAUUUCGUCCCCCACAAGUUGACAGUUACGGGAAGGCAUAACAGGUGAUGACACAAAGAGGCAAAUGCAGCUUGCAUAUUGUAGCUAGGCCAAGCGGGGUGGCGGUGCGACGAACACUGCCCUCGUGCUGACGAGAUUAUCGACCUGCGCCAUCAGGCGCCUCCCAUGGAUGUACCUGGCCAGCGUGCUAGCGUUGCGUUUCGCCACGCCCACGACCAUGUUGCGUUGCCACACAUCCGCCACGUUGAUUAUCACACGCACCACAUUGUUGGCGUGCUGGUUGACCAUCAUACCCUGCACACCACCAGGCAACCAUACAAGAUUAUUAAUUAGUCAGUUAGUCCUCUUGUGAUCUACCAUUCUACCUCUUUGCUAGAUAGCUAGGCAUGUAAAACAACACAAUUAGUCUCACCAGGAUAUGCUCUUCAGUAUCACCAGCCCCCGUGUAGAGGAUCUCAGUUAUGAUAAUCUUGCGUUCAUGGUAGCUGCCGUAAAUUAGGAGCUUCUCGAUGACAUUUGAAGAAUACUCUUGGCGGCUCAGAUGUAUAAUCUGCCCCAUAAUUUCCUGCACAACAAUUUGUCGGUCGCCAGGCUCUCCAUGCUGCACAAUGUACUGCAUGCAACAUGUCAUAUAGUAAAUUUUUCGUUUCACUAAGAGAUUAUUUCAUCAAACACAAGUCACUCCACAGAUGAUUUACCUGCACAACAUAGUUACCGAAUUCGUGUGUUGACAGCUCGAUGACACGUUCGACAAUCUCCAUCACAAACGGAUACAGAAUUAGUGGAUCCUUGGAGAAUUGCAGCACUUUCUGGGAAGAUCAUGAAACAUGAGUAACGAACUAAUACAGUCAACAAAAGACAGAGAGAAACAGAAAAAAAAAAUUGAUACCAGAACACAACCUGAAUAACGUUGUAUCCGUAUUGAUGGGAGGAUAGAAUCUUUGCCUUCCCACGUAGGCUUCUAUAGAUGAAUUGUAUAUAUUGUGUUGGCACACAUUCCAUGCAUUUCUGAAUGACAUGGUUUGCAUGUUCAUCACAAACACAUUUCAGCAGGUUCCUAUUAAGCUCCAUGGCCAUCUCCAUCUGUUGGUCAAUGACGCCUAUUUCAAAAACCUGAAAAAGGAGAUAGUCAAGAAAAGUAUGAUUGAGAACAAUCUUAGAAAUACAUCUUAAUUCUAUACAAUCUGAUAUAUGUAGCAAUUAAAAGCCAAACUGUUCACUGUACCUUUUCGAUCACUUGACUACCGUGCUGAUGAAGGCUUAGGGCUAAGACAUGUCCGAUAAGAUUGCGGACGAGCUUGCUUCUAUAGGUUUCUGGUCCAUAGUCAAGAAGCUGAUGAAAAAGACACAAGGUAAGUACUAUAAUAAUGUAUGCUCGGGCUCGAUAAACCGUACAUUAUCAGUACUCCUAUAAGAUGAAAACCGGCAUAUAUGGGUUUGAGGAACAAACCUUCAUGAUAACAGAAUUGGCGAACACAUCACAGACCAGUGUGGACACUUGAGGCGUCAUUUCAGUAUAUAGCAUCACUACUUCCCCGGUAGUUGUUAUGUCAAGCUGCUUUGUUAUGAAACAGCUUCCCACUGGAUGGACACUGCAUGUAAAAUACACCAAAGGAUUUAGCCAGAAUAUCGCAAUAUUAACUAUUUCUAAGUCGAUGAUAACAAACUUUUGAUUCAAUCGUUGAAAUUCGUGUAAGAUUAAUGUAAGUUUGAUGGAUAAGAAAAUUUUUGUUGGAUGGCUAGGAUUGUCGAUUGAAAAAUAGACACUCCCAUAAUCUUAUGGACAUAUAUAUUAACAGAAACUUUUUUUGGACAAUGGACUUGAGGGUGUAUAGGACGCACACCUGAGAUCACAAAUGUGGCCCUUGACAUGAAUGAGGCGCACAGGAUUGUUCCCUGGAUACUUGAUCCGGUGAAGAAGGGAACAAAAAGCUGAGUUCCUGCUGUUUAUUCCUGUACCCAGAAAACUAUGGAUAUUGUCGCCUCUGCCGCUAGCGUAUGCCGUCUCGACAUCACGAGCAUAGUGAUUCUUGAAAGCUUCCUGAGACUGUUGGAAGAGUUUAGCGGCAACCUCCUGGUCUGGCUCAAAAAGGGCACGGAGACAUCCCAUCUGAUACGCCAUCAUCUCAGGGAAAUGUCUUGGUGGCACACUCCUUGAAGAAGAAGAAGACUGAACAGGAGAAUUUAGGGCAGCCUCCUUAUUUGGUAAUGCAGUUUGGGAGUUUUGCUCGGCAGAAUCCAGUGUACUUGUUGAAGCAGCUGAAGAGAUAGAAGAAGACAGUACAGGCAAAACUGCUCCAAUGUCAUGCAUAUCGAAGCUGUUGGUAUCUCUGUCUUCAGCAUUUGUAGGCACGUCCUGAUGAUCAUCUGAAGUCACAACUUCACUGCUUGGAUCAACCUGCAAAGCAAACGUCAAUGUUUGAACAGUAACAGGAAUUGCAGAAGGAACAAAUGCUAUCAACAGGUAAAAAAGAUAGGAUAAAGACAGUAUCUAAAUAAUAUGACCGUUGGAUCUAGCUUGAAUAAUUUAAUUGAAAUGGACGGCUGAGAUAUAAUUUGAAAAACAUACGUAGGCAUGAAUUCAUCGCGAAAGACUCUGCGUUGGACAAGAUCUGGCCUUAACUGAGUUUUUGAUAUGUAUAUAUUUGAUUAGAAUCCAACAAGCUUACAGUUCUGUUGUUUGAGCCCAAACAGAUAUGCCAGUAGAAAAAAAAAAGUAAAAAAAAAUGAAUAUCUUAAGCCACGUUAUAUUCUUCAGGCUUCUACUACAAGUUUCGUACAUUGCAAAGAAAGAAGACUAACACACAGAUAUUAUUUUUUUUCGAAAAGGGGGAGGGAUCCCGGACUAACACACAGAUAUGCAUACUCCUUCAUUCAAAAAUAAAUCUAGGGACAAAGAAGCAAGAGUAGUAGACGAGUUCAGUAGAAGUAUAAGGAAUUUAUUUCUAGCUAGGACUAGCACGUUUACAUUCUAGCUGUAAUUAGUACUCUUAAUGAAACUCUCAUAGAUAUGGGUUAAUAAAAGAGGAACUCAGCUAGAUAGCUUUGAUCCUAAAUUUUUACAAGAAUUUGUAUGUACUCAUGAAACCAAAAAAGCUUAUUAAUCUCUGUCUGAUGCUUGGCUCAAUAGUAUAAUUGUAAAGCAUAAAGGGUAAUGUUUGGUUAGGAUGGGGCGUUGCACCCUCUAUAUGGGGCUGUCCAUAUGCUCUGAGAUUUACACCCGCAUUGAGGAAACAAUGCAGUCAUGAAUCUUAGUCUCACAGCAUAUGGACGGUCCCAGUGCCAGAUAGAGGGUGCAGUGCACCCCAACUAAAACAAUUGGCAAGCAUAAAUUAUCUGAUUUUGACACCAUCUAAAGGAUCCUAUGGAGGGUUACUUAUGGGAGUGAAGAAGAGAGAGAGGGAUUCCACACUUGAAUGCUCUUAUUAUAUAAGGAAACUCGCUAUAAGUGGAAUUUGGUAAAUUUUUAUGUUGUUCCUCAUGCUAGAGAUAAGAGAAAGUUCUUGGUGGAGUUAGUUCAGAUUAUUAUUAUUAUUAACUGCAAUACUGAGACUAUAGUACGUUAUGGGAGGUGACUUUAGUUUGGUUUGAAAAAAUAGUGAAAGAAAUAGAGAUAAUAAACCUUAUAAAUGGUCCUUUUUAUUUAAUGCUAUUAUUGAACAUUGGCGGCUCAAGAAGCUGGAAUUGUCUAGUAGGAGCUAUACCUGUCCAGUAAUCAGUUAGAUCCUAUUUUUCACACGGUAGAUAUAGUUAUUGUUAGUAUAGAGUGCGUGUUGGAUGAUGACCAUAAGAAUAUUUCUUUUAUCGGGAAAACAGCAGGAGGUGCUCUGCUGCACUUUUAUGAAAACAGAAUAAUGUUACAAUCUAUUUACAAUUUACAGGCAGGCAAAGCAAAAUAAAUUAAAAAUUCCUUUCAAGCAAUUUUACAAUAGAAGAAAUUAAACAUGUUGUCUUUUCCAUGGCUCAUAACAGGGCUUGUGGGCCUAAUGGCUUCCCUACAGAAUUUUACCGUAAAUUUUGGCCCUUAAUAUGUAUGAUAUCACCUACUAUUUGUUUAAAGAUGUUAGUGCAAGGGGCCUAGAUAUAUAUCUCUAGAUUUAAAUGGCAUAAUUACUUUGAUACCUAAAGGGAAAGGGCCAAGUAGAAUUCAAAUGUAUCUCCCACACGCUCGAGCUGAUGGCGACUCAGAGAGUCACCGACAACAUUGACGAUGGUUACAACGUUGGCGACCUUGAGAAUUGGGUGAUGCCAUCUAGCUAUUGCUACCCUACUUUGUCGCGAGUGACCACCGUAGCCACCUAGGCAAGUUAGGCAACAAAGGAGGGGACACAGAGUCGCGACGGCGGGCAGGAAGCGGUGGUGCAUUGGACGGACUCUCUCAACGCCACACAGUAAGAACUCAUCUCACACCCACAUUUGUAUGCCCAAAUUCCCAAAUUAAACACUAACCCCUAGAACUCACCUCUUCAAACCAAUCACGGGGAAGGCUGAUGCAACUUGAAUCAUCGCUUCGGGACACCAUGUCUAGGAUGGCGUGGAGAAUACCGAGACGGCGACAGAGGAGGGUGCGUGGCGGCUGCUACCUAGGGUUUCUAUGCGGGAGUGAGGAGGGGGGGGGGGGUGAGGGUGGUCGGCCAACCUGGUUGGGUCCAGGCCGAUAUGCAAAGGGGCUCGGACCGGUUCGCCACGCUAGUGCCACACUAGAUCUGACGGGUGGCAGCCCGUGCUAGAUAUCCUUUGAAAACACGAUGAAUCGAGAUACGAGUGGCUUCCCUUGCCCGUAUACCCAAACCGGUGUUCAUUUGAAAAAAAAACAAGUGGUUAAUUAUGUUAGACAAUUACCCCUUGUGGUGAUUUGAGUAAUUUACUCUUUGCAAUAUGCAUGCCACCAUUUUCCUUUUGGAGAAUGAUUUGAAUAGCGCUAGAAACUUAAGAUUUUGGAGCAGAGUGUUCAGUAGGGUGAAUUGCAAAGGAACAGCAUGGAACGUACCGAAGCUGAAGAGGGCACCACCCUUUUUUUUAAUUUAUUACUUUGUACAUAAUACAAGCAGCACACAGCAGGCUCUAAAAGGAAAAGAUACAAAAAAAAGGACUGGAUCAAGUUUGUGACUCCAGGAUGGCCAUCACCAUAUUAAAGUGGCAACAACAACAAGAUGGAGGCCCAUCUCUUUUUUUUUACAGCAAAAAACCUGAUGGUGGCCCAUCUCUCAUCUAUCGGGAGGCACCAAUGAAAAAAAAAAGGAUAGACAGAAAAGAGGUAGUAUUCCACUAGUAGAUAAAUCCUGGGCCACUAGUAGAUAAAUCCUGGGCCAGGCCCUUCUAGCUAUACAAAGUAAGGCCCAUCACUUGUUCCAGCAAGAGGCGACAAGCAUGGAGACGCAUCGGCGCAUGAUGUAGAGCCUUGCCCGCUGCUCCCUCGCCGCGCUCGCCACCCUCACCGGCAACGACGCCGACCGCCGGAGCUCUUUUCUCUUACUCCGGCCAUCUCCUUUCUGAUCCAUCUUGCAAUUACCCGGCCGGCUUUCGACGCCGACGACCUUCUUCUGCUGCUGCUUCGUUGCUGCAGUCUCCAUCUUAUUGCUACUACAAUUUUGCUUCUCCAUCGAUCCCCUUCCUUCCUUAAUUUUGGUCUUCUUCUUCUUCCUCUUGUUACUUGUGGUGUGUUUGCUUAUUUGCAGUGGAGCUAGCUAAGCUAAGCUAGUUUGGAGCUCUGGCCGGCGCCUAUGGCGGAGAUUGUAGGACAGGUGCUAUUUAUAGCGUCCAAACUCAUGACUAAGUACGUAGUACCAGUCGUUAGUUAGGAACUUAAUCAGGGUAAAAAAAAUUAGUAUGCAGGAGCAUCUUUAGCCAUGCGUGUCUCCACGAUAAGAAUCAUGAGGGUCCCACACCCUUCUUGGCCUGCUAAAACUAUAUACAGUAAAAUAUGCUAAUUAAGCUAGCUGAUCGAUAGUUAAUUAGGCCUGCUAAAACCAUUAAGAUUUGUUGGAAAUAUAAUUUGGGAAUCUCUUUCUCUUGCAUGUGUGUUGGAAAUAUAUAUAACCAAGAGCAUCUACAGAUGCAUGCAUGGUGCCAGUUUGACACUCUUUGAUCGUCCGUCCUAUAGAUAGAAAUUAAUAGAGGUGUUAAUCUAGAGGUAAUCUCAUUUGUCUUUUGUCCUUUGAUGCAAUCAAAAUGCUAACUCUAGACUCUAGAGUAUGCACACAUACCCUGUCCGUCAAAUUAUUUGAUUUCUUAAGGCACGACUUACCAAAUGAUCAAAAUGGUACAUAGCGCGACUAUCAUAUUGUUUUAAUUACCUGUAAUUUUUCGCAAAGCAGAUUUGAACAGUGGAAGUAUACAGUGGAGGCGCAACAUGUAUAUAACCUAGCUAGCUAGGAGCUCAUCGAGAAUCCACACAUGAUCCUGGCUAGCUAGGGAGGAGCACCAGUUUAUACUGCGUGCGUAUCGGAUCCAGUGACCAUUAAUCAACCAUGCACAUGUGGAUGCAUGCAUGUUGACAAAAGAGGAGGAGGAAGAGAUAUUAAUUGCUGUCAUUUGUGUUAUACAAUCACAUAAUCAUUCAUCAUCAACAACAAAUCAAACAAUCAGUACGAGGUAUAAAAUAAUUAAGCUUAAUUAGAUGGUGUACGUGGUGAGGGUUGACCAGCCAACACAUGCAGCAUCUAAAUAAAUUUCUGCAUAAACUCAAGUAUAUAUAGUACUAGUAUGUAUAUUUGGAACAUUUUAUGGGGAGCUGAUCAUCCAAUUCAGAUCGAUGUGUUCUGCAGAGACACACCGUGUGUAUGGGAAACACAGCUAACAACAAGGUGAAACUAGCUAAUUUUGAUCUGAUGGAGCAGUUAGUUAAUUAACCAAUUAACCAAUUCACUUCAGACAGGCAGCCGAAAGGUAGGAGACAAAGACUCGAGUGUACUUGAAAGUUUAUAAAUAAAUUAUAUAGCACUCUGAUCUAAGAGCUAGAACGAUGAAAUCAUCAUCUAGUGACUAAUUUUACUAUAACAUACAUAUAUAUUGCACAUUCAUUCUAAAGUACUGACCCACAUGCUCGCAUGCAUUGGCAUGUGGGGUUUGUUUUGGGGACACCAUGUGAUCCUAGCUAGCAAAAGGCAGUGACCAAAAGCUAGCUAGAUACUGCGUGAAGUUUUUUUUUUUGGUAAGAUACUGCGUGAAGUUUAAAUAUAUAUAAAUGAAGCUAGCUAGGUUCAAAACAUCCUGCUCAAUUUUGAUAACCAUACACUUAUAUGGUUAUGCAUGUAUACAGCUAGAGUCCCUUCUAGUCACGGUAUAUAUACCAAGUAAGACCCACAAAAAUAGUUUCAGAUAUACUUUUAUGAUUAUAUCCUUCUUAAGUAUUGGACCUUAUUAUUUUCACAUUUAAGAAAAAUCCAUUUCUAAAUGUCUUCGUUGCGAUAUAUAUGAACAUAUGUAGCACCUGUUUUGACUCAUAUAUUAGACAAGACUAGGUAAUAACUAGAUUUACACUUUACACACAAGCAUGCCACAUAACCACCUCUGAUACUAGAUAAUGAUUGAUAUAUCAGAUGCGCCUUGAUUGAUUGACAACUUUAGGUUAAUUAACUAUUGUUAAGACAGAUAGUCUUAAACGGCACAGAGAAAUGAUGGGUUUUCCUUUCAUCAUGCAUGCAUGAGAAGGCCAAGUGGCGACAAAAAACGAUCAACCGUCUUAAUCCUUGUCCAUUCCCCAACUCUAUACUUUUGCAAUCAUAUGCAUAACCACCACUAUAUAUAGAUAACUGUUUAUAUUCUUUCAUACGGGCUAGAUACUCAUUUUUUCCCCUUCUCCCUGAGAGUAAAUAAAUGGAGGAAAUAUUCUAUACUUGUUUAUCUUUGAAGAAGAGACCAGGACGCCACCUGAUCCUUUGUUUAAAGAUACCAUUAGCUGGCAAUGUGUAUAUACAAAGGCGAUAUACAAAAUGAUCAGUAGAAAGAAUCAUUCUGUUUUUUUUAACAGUAGAAAGAAUCAUUAUUUGUUUAUAACAACAAAUCUUUUUUAUAUUAUUUAGAACCACAAUCAGUAGAAGCAUCUGGACAUCUCCGUAAAAUAAAAGCAUCUGGACAUCGAUCCAUUUCUCUUUGAGCUUUUAACGAAGCCCUUGAACAGAAUGGAGUCUCAAAUUUGCUUCCAGAGAGCAAAAUAUAGCCCAAAGGCCUUAGUCCAGCCCAGUGGGCCAAAGAAUAGAAUGGUGCAUCAGUGUAUUCAGCCAAAAGGCCGAAGAAAAUAGCUAUCCCACCAUUCAGAAGAGGCUCCCCCCCCCCAAAAAAAAACAUUCAGAAGAAAAAAAAAAUUCACCAAUCCUCAGGGACGGCGGCGCCGGCGCUUUCACUGGCCUACCCUCGCCGGCGCCGGGCGCUCGACGGUGCCCGCUGACUGUCCUCCUCCUUUGAAGCCUGAUCCUCUCCCCGUCCUCCCCGGCUGGAUCCCCACCGGACAACCGGCGUUCGCUCGCUGCUCCCCGCCCCUCUAGUUACAGCUACAGGUAACUAACUAAUUCCACUGCCUUAAUCCAUGUAAGCUGCUAAGAAUUGCUCAAAUCUGCUGCUUCAGAGUGCUCGAUUGAUGUUGAAGCACUGCUAUCUGUCUAAUUCGAUCUGCAUUUUGCUCAUGUAUGAUGGAAUUUGGGGUGGGGGAUGGGGGGAUUUCUCAGCUUGGCACAUUUGUGCAGUGUUUUUUUUCUUUCUAGAAUACAUUUGUGCAGUGUUCAACAGCCACCAAAUCAGGAGUGAAUCGACCAAUUGCCACAUUUGUGCUGUGUUCAUGGCAUCAUGUAUUGAGAUAGUUGAGACUUCACAAUAAUGGUUUUUUGUUGCUUGCUUGCAUCUGUUUGCUUGCUAUUUUCAAUUCUGGAAUCAUUUUUAUGAAAAUUGAGCACUUUUUUAUCUGAUACACAUGUAGGUGGACAGGGAUAUGAUCCUCCAAGGUGGCUUGGUGAGGAAGAGCUACCUGAGGGAUAAUGGCUGGUAAUUACUAGAAAAAGUGCUCCUGUGCCCAAUGAUGCUGUUGCACUUCAUACUGUCUUCUCUUUUAAUAUUGAGACUCAUCUGAUCACCUGGCUACCAUAUCCUCGUAUAUGGUGUUUGUCUGUUGUUUUUUUCUGUUGCAUUUUGGAAUCUCAUAUGUGUUAUUGUCCCCUUGGAUAUUUUGAUGGUAUAUAGACAUUUGUACAU